UUCUAAUUAUUUGCAGCUGCCGUCUUUUUUAUUGUAACUUAAAAAUAUAGAACGGAACUGUGCCAUCGCAGAAUGGAGGUUCUACCUCGGCAGCGGCUGUUAAUAUAAUUGGCUGAUUUAAAUGUAGCUUGCGAAGACGAUCUUUCAACUCUUCCACUACAGUUUUAUUUAUUCCGCUCCUUCGAAAUCUGUGAGGACACCUCUGCUAUUUACGACGUUACUUACGAUAUCUGUACAUACUGCUCUUUCUGCUCUGUGAAAAUAUACAGGCGCCAACAUUUGUGAUGACACCUCUGCCAUUUAUGAGGUUACCUGCGUCGUUAUUUGCGUUGACAUCAUAUCUGCGACAUAUUUCUCAACAUUAAUGUUUUCCGCUUUCAUGGCCUCUCGCAACCGUUCAAUUUUGAAUACAUCCGUUUGACUAAAAGUUGUUAAUAAAUUCAAAUGCUAGUAUUGCUAUCGAGUAUUGCUUAACAGUGUUGCGCAAACUAGUUUUAAAUUACUUUUUAAAAAAGAAAUAUAUCUACCGUAUUUUAUACCCUUAUACCAUGUUUUAUACUAUAAAGAUAUUGCAACUUCAACAAAUAAAUUAUUUUAGGAGUCUAUAUAUUUAAAAACUAAAAUUAGAACUAUAUAACAACCUGGUAAUUUAUUUAUGUAAAGAGUUAUAUGUAAAAUAUUGUACAUAUUAUAAUGGCUACAUGCUGAAAUACUGAGACAACUACCUGAUAUGCCUACCGUAUUUUAUACUAUAAAGAUAUUGCAACUUCAAAAAAUAAUUUAUUUUAGAAGUCUAUAUAUUUGAAAACUAAACUAAGAACUAUAUAAUAAUAUGGUAAUUUUGUAUGUUAAAAGUUGUAAUAAACUAUUGUACAUAUAUCCACCAUUAAUUGCUGAUAUAUAAAACGUAAAUAAAAUUUGUGAUUAAAUAAAUCUAUACUGAAAUUACAACACUAGUAACAUUUCUUGAUAAAAGUACAAUGAUAAAUUUUGCUUUAUUGUUUAAAUGAAUUAUUAUCACUUGCAUGGCAAUAAGUUUUGCUUUUUUGAUUGUAUAAAUUAUUAUUACUUAUAGUAUCAAAUUCUGUUCCAAUAGUUAUUUCUUCCCGUCCACUCAUAGUUAAAUUGAAUUUUCAGUUUGCCCAUUAAUAAGUUAUUUAAAAUGCUUAAAAAUAUGCCGCAUAUUUACCUAUAUCAACUUGGUAUAAUAUUAUAUAUUGUUAGCAUUAAACAACAAAUAAUAACCAAAAUUUGAAAUAUUUAUAAAUAAUUAUUUAGGCGUUUUCUGCUAUGCGCAACCCGUUUUAAUCCCUCGCCACCCUAACUCACCAUGGCCACCAGGUUGGUUUUAUUGUGAACGUACACCUCAGAGGUGGCGAAGCUAUUGUGAAUGGGACUUUCGCUACUCCCUUAUACCAUGCUACGAAUUCGCUGUCUAGUUGCUUUUGGCAGUUUAUCGUCGAUUCUGAUUUGUUCGCCACAAUAUUAAUACUUAACGCAUUUUUUGCAUUGCACCCUUGUGUGUUGCGAAAAUGUCGGCAAAACUGUUGAGGACGUCUCUGAAAUAAAAAAUACAUAUGCAUAUGUAACUAAACAGAGACUAACUUUGUGUCGUAUUGCCUGUAGAUAUACAAACGGUCCGAGAAUGGUAUCCAGUCCAAUUUAGGAUGGUCACCAAAUAGUUGCCUAAUACCAAUAAAAAAUACCACUCAAUACUUUCCGAUAGCGGUUUUUGACGGUCGAUGCUCUACAAAUUGUUCUUCGAAACGUCCAGAAAUUUGUUUAUUUUGGCAACGGUGGUAUCGGAAUGAGGCAAAAUUUCGUACAAGCCGUAGAAUUGCUUCACAGCAUUAAUUUCCUCUUCAAUCAAUUUACGUACAACCUCUAUGCCCAACACAUAAAUAUUUCAAUUCGAUACACAGUAACCAUGGCGAAAAUCAUUAAAAAAAAAAAACACAAAUUCCUUGGAAUCACCAUUGCGCAAUACUUCUCGAUAGCGACACAAUUGAUCCUACUAGAUUUCCAAUAUAACAUUAUAAUUAAAAAACAGUUCAGACAAAACGCUUACUUCAAAAAUUGUUUCCAAAUAAUGCCGGCCAUUGUUGAAGAAAAAUGGAACAGCUUUACGUGCAUCUCCUUACGCAUUCAAAAAAUAUGUAUGAUGAAUAUCGCUACUCUUACAACAAAAUUUUAAAUUUAAAAACAAAAAGUUAGCUUUGAAUAUGUAGUGGUGUAAAGGAUAAACUUUACUAAUGUAGUAGUGAAUUGGUUACCUCCGUCUUGUCGGGUUCUUGAUUUGGUUUGUUAGCAAUGUAAAAGUAGCCAUACACGACACACUUAUGUUUUCGAUCGGUAUGAAAUCUUUUCGCCAUACACGACAUACGGAUCCGUUUUACAUUCGUCCUUCAAUGAGUAAACAUGUACCAGAAUCAAGCGGAUAAUUGAAUGAUACUUUUUAUAUUUUAAUUCUCGAAUAGAUGUAUUAUAAUAGCAUCUUUAUGUAUUUGAUUCUAUUUAGACAAUAAAUUAUUCCAAUAUAUAUAUUUUUCCAUUAAAUUUUACUAUAAUUUUGUAACUUUUGGUUUUCCAAAUGAGCAAUUGUGUGCACACAAGCCCAUAUACGACAUACUUGUGUGCACCUUAAUUGAAAAAUAUCGAAAAUUUUCGUCAACUUGGAUUCGUAUGCACACAAGCCCACACACGAGUUAAUCUCACUUGCGCACAUACUUAUCGAAUGCACAUGUAUAUAUGUCGUGUGUGGCCACUUUUAGUACAUUGCUUACAAAAUUUUUUUAGUAAAAUCUAUUUUCUAUCGUAUUUUCAAUUCAUCAUAUUUUUUAGUGAAAUUUUAAAAAACGUUUACGUGCAAAUGGACUAAUUCAUUUCAAUCUGAACUUAAGCUACUAGAGAAGGUUCAAUUGCGGACUAGCGUGUUAGUUGUCCAAAUCUAACAAAUCACAAUGAU
This is a long non-coding RNA of Bactrocera oleae (olive fruit fly), 2965 nucleotides long. RefSeq lists it as uncharacterized. Lineage: Eukaryota; Metazoa; Arthropoda; Insecta; Diptera; Tephritidae. The record is from RefSeq and is a predicted model, not a curated record.